Molecule: ribosomal RNA, 482 nt
Filed under: uncultured bacterium
Lineage: Bacteria
Description: partial 16S ribosomal RNA
Rfam family: Bacterial small subunit ribosomal RNA
Source: RNAcentral
GACGAACGCUGGCGGCGUGCUUAACACAUGCAAGUCGAACGAUGAAACCUAGCUUGCUAGGUCGAUUAGUGGCGAACGGGUGAGUAACACGUGACUAACCUGCCCCUUUCUCUGGGAUAACGCUCCGAAAGGAGUGCUAAUACCGGAUACUCACAUCGAGGCACAUGCCUUGAUGUGGAAAGUUUUUCGGAAAGGGAUGGAGUCGCGGCCUAUCAGCUUGUUGGUGAGGUAACGGCUCACCAAGGCGACGACGGGUAGCCGGCCUGAGAGGGCGACCGGCCACACUGGGACUGAGACACGGCCCAGACUCCUACGGGAGGCAGCAGUGGGGAAUAUUGCACAAUGGGCGCAAGCCUGAUGCAGCGACGCCGCGUGAGGGAUGAAGGUCUUCGGAUUGUAAACCUCUUUCAGUAGGGACGAAGCGAAAGUGACGGUACCUAAAGAAGAAGCACCGGCUAACUACGUGCCAGCAGCCGCCGUAA